This 441-nucleotide ribosomal RNA is filed under the name uncultured bacterium. Its description in RNAcentral is "partial 16S ribosomal RNA". It matches the Rfam family "Bacterial small subunit ribosomal RNA", at positions 338 to 795 of the family's 1533-position model. The record is from RNAcentral.
CCUACGGGUGGCAGCAGUGGGGAAUUUUGCACAAUGGGCGAAAGCCUGAAGCAGCCACGCCGCGUGAUUGAUGAAGCCCUUCGGGGUGUAAAGCUCUUUCAGUGGGGACGAAACUUGAGGUAACCGACUAAGGAAGCACCGCCGAACUCCGUCCCAGCAGCCGCGGUAAUACGCAGGGUGCAAGAGUUUUCCGGAAUUAUUGGGCGUAAAGGGUUCGUAGGUGGCAGAUUAAGUCUGGUGUUAAAUGCAGAAGCUCAACUUCGGUACGGCAGUGGAUACUGGUAAGCUGGAAUGCAGUAGAGGUAAGGGGAAUUGCUGGUGUAGCGGUGAAAUGCGUAGAUAUCAGGAGGAACACCGGUGGCGUAAGCGGUUUACUGGGCUGUAAUUGACGCUGAGGCACGAAAGCGGGGGGAGCAAACGGGAUUAGAUACCCGAGUAGUC